This 253-nucleotide ribosomal RNA is filed under the name uncultured bacterium. RNAcentral describes it as "partial 16S ribosomal RNA". It matches the Rfam family "Bacterial small subunit ribosomal RNA", at positions 524 to 776 of the family's 1533-position model. The record is from RNAcentral.
UACAGAGGUGGCAAGCGUUGCUCGGUAUCACUGGGCUUAAAGGGCGCGUAGGCGGUGCGGUACGGUUUCGGUGAAAUCCCUCGGCCCAACCGAGGAACAGCCGGGGCUACGGCCACACUAGACGGCAUCAGGGGACAGUGGAACUUCCGGUGGAGCGGUGAAAUGCGUAGAUAUCGGAAGGAACGCCGGUGGCGAAAGCGACUGUCUGGGGUGCCUGUGACGCUGAGGCGCGAAAGCCAGGGGAUCAAACGGG